Molecule: ribosomal RNA, 460 nt
Filed under: uncultured bacterium
Lineage: Bacteria
Description: partial 16S ribosomal RNA
Rfam family: Bacterial small subunit ribosomal RNA
Source: RNAcentral
CCUACGGGAGGCAGCAGUGAGGAAUAUUGGUCAAUGGACGCAAGUCUGAACCAGCCAUGCCGCGUGCAGGAAGACGGCUCUAUGAGUUGUAAACUGCUUUUGUACGAGGGUAAACGCAGAUACGCGUAUCUGUCUGACACUAUCGUACGAAUAAGGAUCGGCUAACUCCGUGCCAGCAGCCGCGGUAAUACGGAGGAUUCCAGCGUUAUCCGGAUUUAUUGGGUUUAAAGGGUGCGUAGGCGGUCGGAUAAGUUAGAGGUGAAAUCCCGAGGCUCAACUGCGGAAUUGCCUCUGAUACUGGUCGGCUAGAGAGUAGGUGCGGUAGGCGGAAUGCAUGGUGUAGCGGUGAAAUGCGUAGAGAUCAGACAGAACACCGAUUGCGAAGGCAGCUUACCAAGCUACGACUGACGCUGAGGCACGAAAGCGUGGGGAGCAAACAGGAUUAGAUACCCGUGUAGUC